GCCAGCGGCUAACCGCUGGCAUAUGGUCCAACUGAAAAAAUACAGAGAAGAUGUACUCGUGUCUCCCCUAAAUUCCAGCGUUCGAGCACUCACUCAUGGCCCCUGCACUAAGGAUGACACAUGUAAUCAAAGAGACGCAAACCAUUUUU
Molecule: small nuclear RNA, 149 nt
Filed under: Fusarium fujikuroi
Lineage: Eukaryota; Fungi; Ascomycota; Sordariomycetes; Hypocreales; Nectriaceae
Also listed under: 1 other name
Source: RNAcentral